AUUGAACGCUGGCGGCAUGCCUUACACAUGCAAGUCGAACGGCAGCACGGGUGCUUGCACCUGGUGGCGAGUGGCGAACGGGUGAGUAAUAUAUCGGAACGUGCCCAGUCGUGGGGGAUAACGUAGCGAAAGCUACGCUAAUACCGCAUACGAUCUACGGAUGAAAGCGGGGGAUCGCAAGACCUCGCGCGAUUGGAGCGGCCGAUAUCAGAUUAGGUAGUUGGUGAGGUAAAGGCUAACCAAGCCGACGAUCUGUAGCUGGUCUGAGAGGACGACCAGCCACACUGGGACUGAGACACGGCCCAGACUCCUACGGGAGGCAGCAGUGGGGAAUUUUGGACAAUGGACGCAAGUCUGAUCCAGCCAUUCCGCGUGCAGGACGAAGGCCUUCGGGUUGUAAACUGCUUUUGUACAGAACGAAAAGGUCUCUAUUAAUACUAGGGGCUCAUGACGGUACUGUAAGAAUAAGCACCGGCUAACUACGUGCCAGCCGCCGCCGUAA
Molecule: ribosomal RNA, 502 nt
Filed under: uncultured bacterium
Lineage: Bacteria
Description: partial 16S ribosomal RNA
Rfam family: Bacterial small subunit ribosomal RNA
Source: RNAcentral